GUGGGGAAUUUUGGACAAUGGGCGAAAGCCUGAUCCAGCAAUGCCGCGUGUGUGAAGAAGGCCUUCGGGUUGUAAAGCACUUUUGGCAGGGAAGAAACAGUGCGUGCUAAUACCAUGCGCGAAUGACGGUACCUGCAGAAUAAGCACCGGCUAACUACGUGCCAGCAGCCGCGGUAAUACGUAGGGUGCAAGCGUUAAUCGGAAUUACUGGGCGUAAAGCGUGCGCAGGCGGCUUUGUAAGACUGAUGUGAAAGCCCCGGGCUCAACCUGGGAAGUGCAUUCGUGACUGCAAGGCUAGAGUGUGUCAGAGGGAGGUGGAAUUCCGCGUGUAGCAGUGAAAUGCGUAGAGAUGCGGAGGAACACCGAUGGCGAAGGCAGCCUCCUGGGAUAACACUGACGCUCAGGCACGAAAGCGUGGGGAGCAAACAGGAUUAGAAACCCCGGUAGUCC
Molecule: ribosomal RNA, 450 nt
Filed under: uncultured bacterium
Lineage: Bacteria
Description: partial 16S ribosomal RNA
Rfam family: Bacterial small subunit ribosomal RNA
Source: RNAcentral